GAGGGUAUAGCUCAGUGGUUAAGAGUGCAUGCUUAGCAUGAACGAGGUCCUGGGUUCAAUCCCCAGUACCUCCA
Molecule: transfer RNA, 74 nt
Organism: Camelus ferus (Wild Bactrian camel)
Lineage: Eukaryota; Metazoa; Chordata; Mammalia; Artiodactyla; Camelidae
Rfam family: tRNA
About the family: Transfer RNA (tRNA) molecules are approximately 80 nucleotides in length.
Source: Rfam